CCUACGGGAGGCAGCAGUGGGGAAUAUUGCACAAUGGGGGAAACCCUGAUGCAGCGACGCCGCGUGAGUGAAGAAGUAAUUCGUUAUGUAAAGCUCUAUCAGCAGGGAAGAAAAUGACGGUACCUGAGUAAGAAGCCCCGGCUAACUACGUGCCAGCAGCCGCGGUAAUCCGGAGGGGGCACGCGUUAUCCGGAUUUACGGGGGGUAAGGGGAGCGUAGACGGCAGUGCAAGUCUGGAGGGAAAGGCGGGGGCUCAACCCCCGGACUGCUCUGGAAACUGUACGGCUGGAGUGCAGGAGAGGUAAGUGGAAUUCCUAGUGUAGCGGUGAAAUGCGUAGAUAUUAGGAGGAACACCAGUGGCGAAGGCGGCUUACUGGACUGUAACUGACGUUGAGGCUCGAAAGCGUGGGGAGCAAACAGGAUUAGAUACCCUUGUAGUC
Molecule: ribosomal RNA, 440 nt
Filed under: uncultured bacterium
Lineage: Bacteria
Description: partial 16S ribosomal RNA
Rfam family: Bacterial small subunit ribosomal RNA
Source: RNAcentral